RNAcentral lists this ribosomal RNA (434 nucleotides) under uncultured bacterium. Its description in RNAcentral is "bacterial SSU rRNA". It matches the Rfam family "Bacterial small subunit ribosomal RNA", at positions 958 to 1392 of the family's 1533-position model. The record is from RNAcentral.
AACGCGAAGAACCUUACCUGGACUAGAAUGUGAGGGAAUGUCGGUUAACGCCGUCAGUCCGGGAAACCGGACCCAAAACAAGGUGCUGCAUGGCUGUCGUCAGCUCGUGUCGUGAGAUGUUGGGUUAAGUCCCGCAACGAGCGCAACCCUUAUCAACAGUUGCCAUCAUUAAGUUGGGAACUCUGUUGAGACUGCCGUUGAUAAAACGGAGGAAGGUGGGGAUGAUGUCAAGUCAUCAUGGCCUUUAUGUUCAGGGCUACACACGUGCUACAAUGGCCGGUACAAAACGUCGCGAUCCCGCAAGGGGGAGCUAAUCGCAAAAACCGGUCUCAGUUCGGAUUGGAGUCUGCAACUCGACUCCAUGAAGUUGGAAUCGCUAGUAAUCGCAAAUCAGCAUGUUGCGGUGAAUACGUUCCCGGGUCUUGUACACACCG